RNAcentral lists this ribosomal RNA (253 nucleotides) under uncultured bacterium. Its description in RNAcentral is "partial 16S ribosomal RNA". It matches the Rfam family "Bacterial small subunit ribosomal RNA", at positions 524 to 776 of the family's 1533-position model. The record is from RNAcentral.
UACGUAGGGUGCAAGCGUUGUCCGGAAUUAUUGGGCGUAAAGAGCUCGUAGGCGGUCUGUUGCGUCGGCUGUGAAAACCCGGGGCUCAACCCCGGGCCUGCAGCCGAUACGGGCAGACUAGAGUUCGGCAGGGGAGACUGGAAUUCCUGGUGUAGCGGUGAAAUGCGCAGAUAUCAGGAAGAACACCAAUGGCGAAGGCAGCUCUCUGGGACGGUACUGACGCUGAGACGCGAAAGCGUGGGGAGCGAACAGG